AAGCUGAUGAUGACACAACUGAUUGGAAUUACCGUCUGAAUAAUUAUUCUUUGAUGUAAAUUUCUUGGCUGUGGUACUGAGGCUUCGA
Molecule: non-coding RNA, 88 nt
Organism: Cicer arietinum (chickpea)
Lineage: Eukaryota; Viridiplantae; Streptophyta; Magnoliopsida; Fabales; Fabaceae
Source: Rfam